Molecule: ribosomal RNA, 2122 nt
Filed under: Pseudomonas aeruginosa
Lineage: Bacteria; Pseudomonadati; Pseudomonadota; Gammaproteobacteria; Pseudomonadales; Pseudomonadaceae
Description: bacterial LSU rRNA
Rfam family: Bacterial large subunit ribosomal RNA
Source: RNAcentral
UGCAAGAGGCGAACCAGGGGAACUGAAACAUCUAAGUACCCUGAGGAAAAGAAAUCAACCGAGAUUCCCUUAGUAGUGGCGAGCGAACGGGGAUUAGCCCUUAAGCUUCAUUGAUUUUAGCGGAACGCUCUGGAAAGUGCGGCCAUAGUGGGUGAUAGCCCCGUACGCGAAAGGAUCUUUGAAGUGAAAUCGAGUAGGACGGAGCACGAGAAACUUUGUCUGAACAUGGGGGGACCAUCCUCCAAGGCUAAAUACUACUGACUGACCGAUAGUGAACCAGUACCGUGAGGGAAAGGCGAAAAGAACCCCGGAGAGGGGAGUGAAAUAGAACCUGAAACCGUAUGCGUACAAGCAGUGGGAGCCUACUUGUUAGGUGACUGCGUACCUUUUGUAUAAUGGGUCAGCGACUUAUAUUCAGUGGCAAGCUUAACCGUAUAGGGUAGGCGUAGCGAAAGCGAGUCUUAAUAGGGCGUUUAGUCGCUGGGUAUAGACCCGAAACCGGGCGAUCUAUCCAUGAGCAGGUUGAAGGUUAGGUAACACUGACUGGAGGACCGAACCCACUCCCGUUGAAAAGGUAGGGGAUGACUUGUGGAUCGGAGUGAAAGGCUAAUCAAGCUCGGAGAUAGCUGGUUCUCCUCGAAAGCUAUUUAGGUAGCGCCUCAUGUAUCACUCUGGGGGGUAGAGCACUGUUUCGGCUAGGGGGUCAUCCCGACUUACCAAACCGAUGCAAACUCCGAAUACCCAGAAGUGCCGAGCAUGGGAGACACACGGCGGGUGCUAACGUCCGUCGUGAAAAGGGAAACAACCCAGACCGCCAGCUAAGGUCCCAAAGUUGUGGUUAAGUGGUAAACGAUGUGGGAAGGCUUAGACAGCUAGGAGGUUGGCUUAGAAGCAGCCAUCCUUUAAAGAAAGCGUAAUAGCUCACUAGUCGAGUCGGCCUGCGCGGAAGAUGUAACGGGGCUCAAACCACACACCGAAGCUGCGGGUGUCACGCAAGUGACGCGGUAGAGGAGCGUUCUGUAAGCCUGUGAAGGUGAGUUGAGAAGCUUGCUGGAGGUAUCAGAAGUGCGAAUGCUGACAUGAGUAACGACAAUGGGUGUGAAAAACAUCCACGCCGAAAGACCAAGGGUUCCUGCGCAACGUUAAUCGACGCAGGGUUAGUCGGUUCCUAAGGCGAGGCUGAAAAGCGUAGUCGAUGGGAAACAGGUUAAUAUUCCUGUACUUCUGGUUACUGCGAUGGAGGGACGGAGAAGGCUAGGCCAGCUUGGCGUUGGUUGUCCAAGUUUAAGGUGGUAGGCUGAAAUCUUAGGUAAAUCCGGGGUUUCAAGGCCGAGAGCUGAUGACGAGUCGUCUUUUAGAUGACGAAGUGGUUGAUGCCAUGCUUCCAAGAAAAGCUUCUAAGCUUCAGGUAACCAGGAACCGUACCCCAAACCGACACAGGUGGUCGGGUAGAGAAUACCAAGGCGCUUGAGAGAACUCGGGUGAAGGAACUAGGCAAAAUGGCACCGUAACUUCGGGAGAAGGUGCGCCGGCUAGGGUGAAGGAUUUACUCCGUAAGCUCUGGCUGGUCGAAGAUACCAGGCCGCUGCGACUGUUUAUUAAAAACACAGCACUCUGCAAACACGAAAGUGGACGUAUAGGGUGUGACGCCUGCCCGGUGCCGGAAGGUUAAUUGAUGGGGUUAGCGCAAGCGAAGCUCUUGAUCGAAGCCCCGGUAAACGGCGGCCGUAACUAUAACGGUCCUAAGGUAGCGAAAUUCCUUGUCGGGUAAGUUCCGACCUGCACGAAUGGCGUAACGAUGGCGGCGCUGUCUCCACCCGAGACUCAGUGAAAUUGAAAUCGCUGUGAAGAUGCAGUGUAUCCGCGGCUAGACGGAAAGACCCCGUGAACCUUUACUGUAGCUUUGCACUGGACUUUGAGCCUGCUUGUGUAGGAUAGGUGGGAGGCUUUGAAGCGUGGACGCCAGUUCGCGUGGAGCCAUCCUUGAAAUACCACCCUGGCAUGCUUGAGGUUCUAACUCUGGUCCGUGAUCCGGAUCGAGGACAGUGUAUGGUGGGCAGUUUGACUGGGGCGGUCUCCUCCUAAAGAGUAACGGAGGAGUACGAAGGUGCGCUCAGACCGG